This 95-nucleotide ribosomal RNA is filed under the name uncultured bacterium. Its description in RNAcentral is "partial 16S ribosomal RNA". The record is from RNAcentral.
CCUAUGGAUUGUAAACUGCUUUUACACCGGAGAAAACCCCCCUAUGCGUAGGGGGCUGAUAGUAUGGUGAGAAUAAGCAUCGGCUAACUUCGUGC